Long non-coding RNA from Humulus lupulus (European hop), 200 nucleotides. RefSeq lists it as uncharacterized. The record is from RefSeq and is a predicted model, not a curated record. The transcript is spliced from 3 exons. Lineage: Eukaryota; Viridiplantae; Streptophyta; Magnoliopsida; Rosales; Cannabaceae.
UUUCCAGAAGCGAAAUGAUGCUCGACAGUUUAUGAAGUUUCUCCAUCUGGAUCUUGGUGUUGAACUUCCUGAAAGAUCUUAUGGAGCUGACUGCCGCAUAUAUCUUCCUGAAAAUCCUACAAGCAGGUUUAAGAAUGUUUAUGAAACACUUUUUGACGAAUUCGUUUUAGCUCAUAUUAUUGGAUGGUGGGGUAAAGCUA